RNAcentral lists this ribosomal RNA (249 nucleotides) under Salmonella enterica. Its description in RNAcentral is "partial 16S ribosomal RNA". It matches the Rfam family "Bacterial small subunit ribosomal RNA", at positions 1 to 246 of the family's 1533-position model. Lineage: Bacteria; Pseudomonadati; Pseudomonadota; Gammaproteobacteria; Enterobacterales; Enterobacteriaceae. The record is from RNAcentral.
AAAUUGAAGAGUUUGAUCAUGGCUCAGAUUGAACGCUGGCGGCAGGCCUAACACAUGCAAGUCGAACGGUAACAGGAAGCAGCUUGCUGCUUUGCUGACGAGUGGCGGACGGGUGAGUAAUAUCUGGGAAACUGCCUGAUGGAGGGGGAUAACUACUGGAAACGGUGGCUAAUACCGCAUAACGUCGCAAGACCAAAGAGGGGGACCUUCGGGCCUCUUGCCAUCAGAUGUGCCCAGAUGGGAUUAGCU